Magallana angulata is the source of this 2540-nucleotide long non-coding RNA. RefSeq lists it as uncharacterized. NCBI's taxonomy places the organism in Eukaryota, Metazoa, Mollusca, Bivalvia, Ostreida, Ostreidae. The record is from RefSeq and is a predicted model, not a curated record. The transcript has 3 exons.
UUCAACAAUAAAGGUUAACGUUUCUAAAAUCCAAUGGUACUGUAUAUAUUCCCCUGGGCCCGGUUUUUCGAAAGGUGGUUAACUCUAAGCCUAACACCGUGUUAACUCUGUGUUAAACUCGGUGUUUAAGUUAACGAAAUGGUUAAGUGUUUUUCGAAAGUGUGUUAGGGUUUAACCAUGUGUUAACUCUGUGUUAACUUUAAUCCACCCCCAGUACCUUGGUUAAGAUUUAACACAGUGAUUAAAUAUGGCCGCCAGUGUAAUGAUUUUGCCACUUCAACUCAAAAAAUUGGUAUAAGAAGCAUUUUCCAGAAAUUUUAAAGUUUGAAAAAUCUUACAUAUGAUAUAAGAUACGGAAAAGCAACCGGCUUGACAUGAAAAGUUGCAGCAAUCUGUAUGAUAUAUUUAUGGAAGAAGGAUUUUACACAUGGUUCAUACCCCCUAUGUUGAAGGAUCCCUUCUUUUGAGGAGGCUGCAUUGUUGACAGCAGUAAAAGAUUUGGAAGAAGGAGAACAUGGUAUGUUCUGCUGGGUGACACUUGCUGUGCUUGGUACCUAAUUCUCCCAAAGCCAUAUCUCAUGAGGCCCACAAACUGCAGCCAAGGAAAAAUUUAAUCAAACAUGCAUACCAAGAUCAGAAGUGAAAUUGAGAGGUUCUUUUAUUUGCAUAAGAUUUGCAUGAUACAGGAAUUAACUGCCUGCCUGCAUUGUUUAUUUGAAGAGAACUUGGAGAGACCGAGAAAGAUGAGUAUUUGACAACAACCAACCUCUAAGCCUCAAACACCAUGCACCAAGAGAAGGAGAACAAUUAUUGUGACAUUUAAUCUAAUGUCUACAUCCUAAUUUAUAAUACACAAUAGCCAAAAAAAAAUGAAUCUCUCUCUCUCUCUCUCUCUCUCUCUAUCUCUCUCUCUCUCUCUCUGCUAUUAAAACAUGUCUAACAUGUUUUUAUUAUGAAAUUGUUUAAAGUACCAUAAACUGGAAAUGAUAAUUAUUAAAGUAAUAAAAAUUAAAUUAGAUUGCUGUGUCAAGUUAAUCAGGUAAUUCAAUUCAAUUUGAUCCCAUGAAUUAAUAAUGAAUUAUUUUUAACUGGCCACAAAAUGGUGGGGUUGGAACUCCAUGGUACAACAACAAUUAUGCACAUUUUGUGGAGAUGUGUGAAAUCUCUGUUUAAAUUCAAUGCAUUGUUUCUAAAGUAGGCCGACACAUGAAAAAAAAACCUGCCAAGUACUAGCAAUGUACAUGUACUUGAAUGUACUACACGUACUAACAACCUUGAGCUAGCUAGAGCACUUGGCCACAUGAAGUUUCCAGACUCUUGAGUGUCGAGAAUUAUUCAUCCCCACCCUUCUUUCUUAAACCUUGUCACGUAGAUUGAAACAACAGAAGACGUGUGCGAAUGAAGACCCAUAUGUUGUACUUCAUUUCCAUGUAGAACUGUCACACAAGUGACUGGUUUUUAUGCCAACUGAGACUUUAAUUAAUACAUGAACCUGACAGAACAAAAAAACAACAAAUCUGGCUAAAACAAAUGUAUAUCUUUCUGUCAUUUAUAGAUUUGAUUCUAAGACACAAAAGUACAAGUUACUCUUGAUUUAAUUAAUAAUAAUUAAAAAAAAUUACCGUAUCAAAUUCCAAUACUCUCUGAAGUCUUCAACUCAAACAAUAAAAAAUCUUUUAAACCCCAUUUUAAAAAUUGCAGUGCAUUGGAUGGUACCUAAUUGAAUCUAUUGAGAUGGUGGAAUACCCUCAAUAAACGAUAAGAGGUUGUGUUGAGCUUGUAAACACAUUAACAACAUCAAAGACAUUCAAGGUGGCAUCAAGUUUUUUUUACGACAAGAGUUUCAAAGCUCUCGUAUCUAUUCAAGAAUGUUCCUGGUAAUAUUACCCUUCCUGAGUUGCAUGGGUACUAUUACCUUUCCUCGUAAAAUUAUAACUCUCCCCCAGUGUGUGAUUUAGGACUCAAUAACCAAUUCUGGGAUUACAUGAAACAGUACUGGCCACACCCAAAUGGGAGUUAUUUCUAUGUGGGGGUGCCUGAAAGUGACAAAGGCUGCACGAAUUUGAAAAACCUUCAAGCAGUAAACUGCACUCGGUCAACCAUCAGGGGAGGGAGGGGACCAAUAUACUCACAACUUGAUUCAAUUAACUGGGAAUAAAUUUAACAAAAGACUCUAAACUCGCAGAUAAUCGGUCAACAAUCACCUUCACAAAGCAAAUCAAUCGAAGGGCAUUAGAUGAUAUCAGUUUUAAUAUGGUUAUAAAUGUAGGAAGCAAGUAGAGCUUGUGCUGCAUUAUUAUUUGAAUUCAAUUGUCAAUAUUUGGCAUGUGAUAAGAUAAACAGAAAUGUGGCUUUUAAGCACACAGUUCAGGUCUCUUUGGACCCCCACAGUGCUGGCAUCGCUUUUAAUUUACUUUCAACUUAUUCCAUUUCAUUGUUGUGAUAUUUAAAUGCACUACAUACACAGCCCUAUACACUGCUCAUAUAGAAAACCUGUUACACAAUGGACAAUCUGUCCCUGUCAUUCCUGCACUUGGCCC